GUGGAGUUGUAGUUCAGAGGAAGAGCGCUUGCCUAGCAUGCAUGAGGAACUGGGUUCGAUCCUCAGCACCACA
This 73-nucleotide transfer RNA is filed under the name Marmota monax (woodchuck). Its description in RNAcentral is "tRNA.Ala". It matches the Rfam family "tRNA". From Rfam's summary of the family: Transfer RNA (tRNA) molecules are approximately 80 nucleotides in length. Their secondary structure includes four short double-helical elements and three loops (D, anti-codon, and T loops). The record is from RNAcentral. Lineage: Eukaryota; Metazoa; Chordata; Mammalia; Rodentia; Sciuridae.